Molecule: transfer RNA, 72 nt
Filed under: Heterocephalus glaber (naked mole-rat)
Lineage: Eukaryota; Metazoa; Chordata; Mammalia; Rodentia; Bathyergidae
Rfam family: tRNA
About the family: Transfer RNA (tRNA) molecules are approximately 80 nucleotides in length. Their secondary structure includes four short double-helical elements and three loops (D, anti-codon, and T loops). Further hydrogen bonds mediate the characteristic L-shaped molecular structure. tRNAs have two regions of fundamental functional importance: the anti-codon, which is responsible for specific mRNA codon recognition, and the 3' end, to which the tRNAs corresponding amino acid is attached (by aminoacyl-tRNA synthetases). tRNAs cope with the degeneracy of the genetic code in two manners: having more than one tRNA (with a specific anti-codon) for a particular amino acid; and 'wobble' base-pairing, i.e. permitting non-standard base-pairing at the 3rd anti-codon position.
Source: Rfam by way of RNAcentral
GAGAGUAUAGCUCAGUGCUAGAGCACGUGCCUAGCAUGCUCAAGGCCCUGGGAUCAAUCCCCAGUAUCAUCA